Corythoichthys intestinalis (scribbled pipefish) is the source of this 4376-nucleotide long non-coding RNA. RefSeq lists it as uncharacterized. The transcript has 7 exons. NCBI's taxonomy places the organism in Eukaryota, Metazoa, Chordata, Actinopteri, Syngnathiformes, Syngnathidae. The record is from RefSeq and is a predicted model, not a curated record.
GACCCGGAAGCAAAACACAGACCGGAAGAGGAGACGAGGAACAGUUUUAUUUGGCGUGGUGUGUAAACACUUUUGUUUGACGUGUUGUUUAUUUGUAUACCUUAUUUUUGCGUGCUUUUACAUACGAUCUGAAACAGUGACGUUACGUUAGCGUCAAGUCAUUCCUUUUUGAUGGAUUACGAGGGCAGAUGUCCAAAAACAAGGAGUCACGUCGUCGGCUAAAAGGACUGGAGAGGUUUUGGAUGAGCACACGGCCGCCAGAAGCGGAGUAUGGGCCGCGUCAGGACAAAUGUGAGCGCACACCUGACAAGCACACAAGGUAAAAUACAUUUCUUACUCGUCGGCCAACGGGAAGAUCAGACCAGCGUGGAGACUUAAAGACAAAAAAUUGGCUCUUGGAUAGCAGUCGAUGCCUGGCUCAGGUCACAAAGUCCUAAAAAAAACAAAGACCAUGGCUGAAUCAAGGCAACCUUUCUGGAGGUGGUAACUGAAAAUCUGCACACACAUCUGAAUGUGGGCGUCCACCUGAAAAGAGUAAACAUUCAGUGCAAGCAAAAAUAGUUUUGUCAGAUUUUUAUUGUCAUUUUUAUAUCCCUGGGCUUGAAAAGGACAUCGACGACCACAUCGCGGCCUGUUCCACUCCGGCCAGGACAACAGUUCUGAAAGGAGAAAGAGGGAACGGAGGAGGAUUUGGCGCGCCGCUCCAUGACGGCAAGCAUCCCUACACACAAAAUAAGCAGCGUGCUCAAACCUAGUGGACAAGGCCUCCAACGUCGAUCUUGAUGAAAUCAUACAAGGCUGCUCUCCUUACUGCACACAAGGGUAGAGAGAAAAAAAACGCUUUUAGAAAUGGCCACUGCAAAUCAUUCCAGGCGUCCUUACCUUGGACAUUGUAGCUCCUCGACACGUGCUGAAACAAAUUAAAAGACAAUAAGAUUUGCACGCGUUGGUGUGUUUGCUUGUCUCACCUGUGAUCAGAGGCGGACAUCUUGACAGUGGCCUGCAACAGAAAAGGUAAAACAAUCGGUAAGCUUAUUCGAUCGAUUAGAAUCAAUUUGCCCAUUCUCUUUAAGAUGAGAAUCUGCGGACAAAAUUAGACCUUGAAUCGUUUUAAUGGUAAUCGCGAGUUUUUCCCCGCAGUUUACCUCCUGUCAAACGGCGCUCUUGUUCACUUGUCGAAAAUGUCAGCGUCACUCCUGUUAUGAGAAAGUGCACGCAAUUCACGCAGAUUCGAUGUAUUUCAGUUUGUACCUUAGUUAAACGCCUGCAUUUGUUUGUAGUCGUCGAAUGAAUGUCUUUUUAGCACGCGCUCCCUCGACGUCGACGGCCGCCGUCCUGCAAAGAAACAUUUUUAAGAACACGCAGGCGAGCUAUUAGCACGCUCAAAACGUGAAUUAGUAUCAAAUAGAAGUAGCAAACGGGAGGUUAAAGAAUGAUUUUGAUGACUUACUUCGCGUUAAGUGCGGAGCGCAGCAGUCGGGUGGCGACGGGAGCUGGCAGCAGGUUUGAAAAGAAUGAUGGCUCAUUUCGUGCAGUUUAAAUAGGUUUCCGGUCAUGACGUCAUCGUAAAAAAAAAAAAAAAAAAAUAGAAAGGUACGUGAAAGUAUAAAGGGACAAUAUCGCUGUGCUCGAACCCGACUUUCUCAGAUGUUGGGCUUUGUCAUUAACCACUUGACUAUUGUUUUGAAUAUAUGAUUGAGUCCUUCUGAUUUAUUACUUUAACUUCACAGUACAACACAUCACCAUGUGACUUACAAAGAAUAAGUAUGACUUCCGAUCAGAGUUUACCCUCUUAAAGAUGGUCCAAUGGUUCAAGACAUCGACUACGGCCUCUCGGUACCCGGGUUCGAGUUUUGACAAUUUUUGAAAAUGAUGCGUUUUCUGUUUCUGCAGGCAUCUUGACCAAUGCAAGCCUAUAUAGGAAUCGAACCCGUGUUGCCUCAGUGGUAGUUAAUGUUUUUAACCAUUAGGCCAUCCGAAAUGAGGUUUCACGGCUGAAUUUUUUCAUAUUUAUAGAAUGACUACCCCACAGGGUAAACCGGUGUUAAAUUCAUGACCACCUUUUGCCCCAACUCCUUCCACGUCACACCCAACCAGUGCAUACAACCGAGUCUCUCUCCUUUCUUAUGAAACUCCACUUAAGUGAAGGACCUCAUCCUUGACCUGGAUAGGGCAUGACACCUUAUUCUCAUUGAGGACCAUGCUCUCAUAUUUGGAGGUGCUCAUUCUCAGCCCAAGUGCUUCAUAACUGUAUGCAUCCAUAUGGAGUGUCUCAAUAAAUUGCUUCUUUUCUAUUAGUAUGUGUGUUGUGUUUCUGCUGCAGAAUCUUCACUCGCUGGCGGUUUAUUCAAUUCAAUUUUAUUUGUAUAGCCCUAAAUCACAACAAGAUUGUCCUUAAGGGCUUUGCAGAGGCAAUAUGAUACACAAUCAGAAACAGCAAAUGAAGCAACAAAGAUGAAUAAAUAAAGUUCAAGUCCUGGGCAUCCCCUAUCCUUAUACCCUCCAUGUCAGCAAGGAAAAACUCCAGAGUCUUUGGGAGAAAAUGAGAAACCUUGGGGAGUACCAAAGUCAGGAGCAAUGAGCCGAGACACGCCAUUGUAUUUGAUCCUCACGUCGCCAGGCAUAUUAACAUUUUUCUUCCACUUUUGGGCUGUCGGAAACCCUUUUGUCGACGGUCCGGAAUAAGCCGUGCUGAGCUGAUGUCGUAAUGAUGCGAUUUGUUUGGAUCGCGAACGCCGUCGUCUCAGUGGUUGACGAAGAAAAAUAAUCGAUUAGCCGCGGGAAGUCGGGACGUUGCCCUUUUGUGGGUCAUCACGGGAGAGCAUGAUGAGCGACCGUUAAUCGGCUGCCGCACAUAUUUACAGUACAGUGCUAACAGUAUACUUUUAUAUUUUUCCAUCUUUCAAUUUCACUGCCAUUGAUGACGGCAGACGUCCGGGCCCGCCGUCAAUGGCACUGAAACAUUACAAGUUUUCCAUCAAAAAGGUUGCUUCAAAGAACGAACAUUUAGCAAUGCCUCAACAGUGGAAACAAAAGAACAACCUGUAGGCAUUGGACGUCUAUCGCCGUCAGUGGCGCUGAAACAUCACAGUUUGGAUUUCCGACAAAAGGAGUCACCUCAAGGACCGAACGUUUCACAAUGCGAGAUCUGAAAGCAUCGGACGUCUCUUCUCGCUGUCAAUGGCAAAGAAACGUCACGAUUUGAAGUUCUGUCUCAAGAGCUUCAAAGACCAAACAUUUGGCAAUGCCUCAAAAGCAAAACCAAAAAAAACAAUCUGAAGGCAUUGGAUGUCUGUUGUUGCCAAUGGCAGAGAACGUGUGAAAAUAAUGUUUUUGGUGUCAGGUUGUGAAAGAAUUAAAUUGUUUUGCCCAGUAUUAUUGGGAUAAAGACGAUUGGCAGUGAUGAAAUCUCAUCACGCAGCAUGGCAAUUUGCUAGGCAGUUAGCCAUGUGAUGUUAACAACCAAGGCUUUUCUAAACAAACCCGUGGAUUUGCUUUCUCUCUCUCCAUAACCCUCAGUUCACCAAGCUGGAGUCAGCUGUCGUUCCUUCCAGUUGCUCUGAUGUGAACACCAGUCAAAUUGGUGCUUUCGCUGCAAACCAAGUUGAACGAGACUGUCGGCAAUUUGUGUCUAACAAAGAGGCCUUAUUUCCUCUUAAUCCGUUUCUUGACCUUGAGAAUCAGUAGAACAGUCAAAAUUUGCAAAAAAGAAAAAGUAUGUUGUCAAACCUCCGCAGAGUCAGCCAUCUUGGAUGCAUCCCACAAUGCACUGCAGGUAUAAAUAGACAAUUUGAGGCUGGAACUUUGAUUCCAAUGAGCUAUGAUGGGAGUAAUUUGAGAACUCAUACGUGUAGUUGUCCAAUCAAUUGGCUCCUGUAAUCAUUCUGCUUUAUCACUAAUAGACAAAUUUUUAACCAACAAAAAAAUAUGCUAAAAAAACUUAAUUGGGCUUGUCUUCCUUUUGUUUUUUCCAAUUUGUAUUUUCCACAAUUUAUAGAACACCCUCGGCCGUUAUAGUAGCGUAAUAUUACAUGGUUCGAUAGCGAGUGUGACAUGUAAUAACCCAUAAUGGCCACAGGAGGGCAGUAAAGAUGGCGCUAGUACCCCAAAUGCUUUCCAAUCGUGGGGGUAGAUUAGUUAUCUUCUAACAACGCAAAAUACUUUAAGUGGUGUUGUCGGAGUUCUUAACGAAAUAAAACGUGUCUAGUUUUUUAAAUUUAUGUAUUAAAAUGUCUUGUUAUAUUCAGAAUAAAUGUAGUUGGCAUAGUUGGUAUGUUUCCAUUCGUAAAUGCAAUGAUUAACUUUCAUUUUACAUUUUAAAAUAUUACAAGGCGAGUGUGGCAUGCGUUUACCAAUGUUGACCACAGGAGGACAGU